This 319-nucleotide long non-coding RNA is filed under the name Phoenix dactylifera (date palm). RNAcentral's name for it is "long non-coding RNA (PDAC_LNC012492)". Lineage: Eukaryota; Viridiplantae; Streptophyta; Magnoliopsida; Arecales; Arecaceae. The record is from RNAcentral.
UACAUGGUCUCUAGCCAUAUGGGUCCAUGCAGUGUAGAUUGGCUGCAGUAGGUUCACUGUAAGAGUAGGGUAUGCACCUAUAAGGAAUCUAUCGACCUUGAUAGAUAAGAAGAGAUCCUAUGAGAUUUAUAAGACUUAGUUCGUAAGACUUCGGCCGGGGCAGAUUGUAUAGUGGAGAAAGAGUUUUCCACUCUCGAGCUUAAGUCGAAUAAAUUUUGACAUAUGACAGACGAUGGGGUUUGACGAGUUGUCCAUGACCUCCAUCCUGUAGGGAUCCAUGAUAGUAAGACUAUAUCAUACGAUAACUGCACCUAGAGGU